GCCCUUUUCCGGUUGAUCCUGCCGGAGGCCAUUGCUAUCGGGGUCCGAUUAAGCCAUGCUAGUCGCACGGGUUUAGACCCGUGGCGGAAAGCUCAGUAACACGUGGCCAAACUGCCCUGUGGAUCAGGAUAACCUCGGGAAACUGAGGCUAAUUCUGAAUAAGGCUUACAUCUUGGAGUAGAGUGAGUCUGAAAUGCUACCGACGCCUCAGGAUGUGGCUGCGGCCGAUUAGGUAGACGGUGGGGUAACGGCCCACCGUGCCCAUAAUUGGUACGGGUGAUGAGAGUCAGAGCCCGGAGACGGAAUCUGAGACAAGAUUCCGGGCCCUACGGGGCGCAGCAGGCGCGAAACCUUUACACUGCACGGAAGUGCGAUAGGGGAAUCCCAAGUGCGAGGGCAUAUUA
Molecule: ribosomal RNA, 404 nt
Filed under: uncultured archaeon
Lineage: Archaea
Description: bacterial SSU rRNA
Rfam family: Archaeal small subunit ribosomal RNA
Source: RNAcentral